RNAcentral lists this transfer RNA (75 nucleotides) under Candidatus Giovannonibacteria bacterium RIFCSPHIGHO2_01_FULL_45_24. Its description in RNAcentral is "tRNA-Glu". It matches the Rfam family "tRNA". Rfam says of the family: Transfer RNA (tRNA) molecules are approximately 80 nucleotides in length. The record is from RNAcentral. RNAcentral also lists the same sequence under 1 other name. Lineage: Bacteria; Candidatus Giovannoniibacteriota.
GCCCCUGUCGUCUAGCUUGGUCUAGGACAUCGCGUUCUCAGCGCGGGAACCCGGGUUCAAAUCCCGGCGGGGGCA